RNAcentral lists this ribosomal RNA (388 nucleotides) under uncultured bacterium. RNAcentral's name for it is "bacterial SSU rRNA". It matches the Rfam family "Bacterial small subunit ribosomal RNA", at positions 28 to 417 of the family's 1533-position model. The record is from RNAcentral.
AUUGAACGCUGGCGGCGUGCUUAACACAUGCAAGUCGAGCGGUAAGGCCCUUUCGGGGGUACACGAGCGGCGAACGGGUGAGUAACACGUGGGUGACCUGCCUUUAGCUCUGGGAUAAGCCUGGGAAACUGGGUCUAAUACCGGAUAUGACUCCGCGGUGCAUGCUGUGGGGUGGAAAGCCUUGUGCGGCUGGAGAUGGGCCCGCGGCCUAUCAGCUUGUUGGUGGGGUGANGGCCUACCAAGGCGACGACGGGUAGCCGGCCUGAGAGGGCGACCGGCCACACUGGGACUGAGACACGGCCCAGACUCCUACGGGAGGCAGCAGUGGGGAAUCUUGCGCAAUGGGCGAAAGCCUGACGCAGCGACGCCGCGUGAGGGAUGACGGCCU